GGGAAACAAAAUUAAGUAAUCAGAUAUAACUACCUUGCCUACAAGGAAUAUUGGGCAUGGGAAUGGACUGGACCUUGAAGUAUGGACCAGUACGGAUUGUGAUUUGAUUCCUACGUCCUGGAAAGCAGCAGGAGGUCUGUGAAUGAGUGCCUAAGACUAAGAGGAUUGCAAGGCAUGUCCACACCUGAAGUCCUCCACAACUCCUUGGUCCUCACAUGUAG
This is a non-coding RNA of Pelodiscus sinensis (Chinese soft-shelled turtle), 221 nucleotides long. NCBI's taxonomy places the organism in Eukaryota, Metazoa, Chordata, Testudines, Trionychidae. The record is from RefSeq and is a predicted model, not a curated record.